Molecule: ribosomal RNA, 300 nt
Filed under: uncultured Bacillus sp.
Lineage: Bacteria; Bacillati; Bacillota; Bacilli; Caryophanales; Bacillaceae
Description: bacterial SSU rRNA
Rfam family: Bacterial small subunit ribosomal RNA
Source: RNAcentral
GGUACCGUGGGGCCGGAGGCCGCGGGAAUACGAAGGGGGUCAGCGUUAUUCGGAAUUACCUGGCGUAAAGGGUGCGUAGUGGGUUCGUUAAGUCGGUCGUGAAAUCCCCGGGCUCAACCUGGGAAUGGCGAUGGAUACUGGCGAGCUAGAGUGUGUCAGAGGAUGGUGGAAUUCCCGGUGUAGCGGUGAAAUGCGUAGAGAUCGGGAGGAACAUCAGUGGCGAAGGCGGCCAUCUGGGACAACACUGACGCUGAAGCACGAAAGCGUGGGGAGCAAACAGGAUUAGAUACCCUUGUAGUC